Molecule: ribosomal RNA, 253 nt
Filed under: uncultured bacterium
Lineage: Bacteria
Description: partial 16S ribosomal RNA
Rfam family: Bacterial small subunit ribosomal RNA
Source: RNAcentral
UACGAAGGGGGCUAGCGUUGCUCGGAAUCACUGGGCGUAAAGCGCACGUAGGCGGAUUGUUAAGUCAGGGGUGAAAUCCUGGAGCUCAACUCCAGAACUGCCUUUGAUACUGACGGUCUUGAGUUCGGGAGAGGUGAGUGGAACUGCGAGUGUAGAGGUGAAAUUCGUAGAUAUUCGCAAGAACACCAGUGGCGAAGGCGGCUCACUGGCCCGAUACUGACGCUGAGGUGCGAAAGCGUGGGGAGCGAACAGG